This 336-nucleotide unclassified non-coding RNA is filed under the name soil metagenome. RNAcentral's name for it is "partial contains 5.8S ribosomal RNA, internal transcribed spacer 2, and large subunit ribosomal RNA". The stretch from base 1 to 120 matches the Rfam family "5.8S ribosomal RNA", at positions 35 to 154 of the family's 154-position model. The record is from RNAcentral.
GAUGAAGAACGUAGCGAAAUGCGAUAAGUAAUGUGAAUUGCAGAAUUCAGUGAAUCAUCGAAUCUUUGAACGCACAUUGCGCCCCCCGGUAUUCCGGCGGGCAUGCCUGUUCGAGCGUCAUUUCAACCCUCAAGCCCCAGGCUUGUGUUGGGGACCUGCGGCUGCCGCAGGCCCUGAAAACCAGUGGCGGGCUCGCUGUCACACCGGGCGUAGUAGAUUUUAUCUCGCUCAGGGCGUGCUGCGGGUUCCGGCCGUUAAAAAGCCUUUUUUACCCAAGGUUGACCUCGGAUCAGGUAGGAAGACCCGCUGAACUUAAGCAUAUCAAUAAGCGGAGGA